AUUGAACGCUGGCGGCAGGCCUAACACAUGCAAGUCGAACGGUAACAGGAAACAGCUUGCUGUUUCGCUGACGAGUGGCGGACGGGUGAGUAAUGUCUGGGAAACUGCCUGAUGGAGGGGGAUAACUACUGGAAACGGUAGCUAAUACCGCAUAACGUCGCAAGACCAAAGAGGGGGACCUUCGGGCCUCUUGCCAUCGGAUGUGCCCAGAUGGGGUUAGCUAGUAGGUGGGGUAACGGCUCACCUAGGCGACGAUCCCUAGCUGGUCUGAGAGGAUGACCAGCCACACGGGAACUGGGACACGGUCCAGACUCCUACGGGAGGCAGCAGUGGGGAAUAUUGCACCAUGGGCGCAAGCCUGAUGCAGCCAUGUCGCGUGUAUGAAGAAGGCCUUCGGGUUGUAAAGUACUUUCAGCGGGGAGGAAGGGAGUAAAGUUAAUACCUUUGCUCAUUGACGUUACCCGCAGAAGAAGCACCGGCUAACUCCGUGCCAGCAGCCGCGGUAA
Molecule: ribosomal RNA, 506 nt
Filed under: uncultured bacterium
Lineage: Bacteria
Description: partial 16S ribosomal RNA
Rfam family: Bacterial small subunit ribosomal RNA
Source: RNAcentral